Long non-coding RNA from Mauremys reevesii (Reeves's turtle), 713 nucleotides. RefSeq lists it as uncharacterized. Lineage: Eukaryota; Metazoa; Chordata; Testudines; Geoemydidae. The record is from RefSeq and is a predicted model, not a curated record. The transcript has 2 exons.
GAACUUGGAUCAGUGAAGCCAGUCAGUGGAAGGAGGAUCAGGCCCAUAAUGACUACUCUUUAAUCAGGACCUGAUCUUGCAAGCUGCUGCUGUUCUGGUCUUGAGGGUCCCCUCAUUGCAACUGGGGAACGCCUGACCAUGAUAAGGAGGAGAAAGAAGAGGACAUGGGAGGAUAUGCUCACUGAGAUCCUGCAAGCCAGUGUUGCAUCAGAUUGUGAACAGAGUGCUUGGAGGGUUGAUAUUGAAAGAAAGAGUGGACAAGAGAAAGGACCAGGAGUCCCAGAAGAAAAAGGAGAAGGAGAUGCACCAGGACAUAAUGGGGCUUCUCUGGCAGAAAAAAACAGAUUCUGCAGACUCUUGUUGAUAUACAGGUCUAACAAUCACAGGCUCACUUCCAUUUGCAGUCAAUGGAGAGCUCCAUUUUAGCACCUCCUUACGCCCUCCAACAUUUCACAUGGUAUCAGGGGUAGCAUCCUUACCACUCCACACGGGGCUCCAGUCAGGACAAUUACAGCUUCACAUACAUUGACCUAUGAAAGCCACAGUUGCUAUAUAUGUAGCCAAAAUAGACUGAAAUGGACAGAAAUGUCCUUUCCCCUGGUUAAGUGCUGUUCCAUUAAUUUACUUCAGAAGUUUUUAUUGUAUUUGUUUUCCAAUUGCACAUAGUUUUUUGCACUGGUUUUGGUAGGCAAUACAAUUCUAUGUUUUGGAAA